GAUGAACGCUGGCGGCGUGCCUAAUACAUGCAAGUCGAGCGAACGGACGAGAAGCUUGCUUCUCUGAUGUUAGCGGCGGACGGGUGAGUAACACGUGGAUAACCUACCUAUAAGACUGGGAUAACUUCGGGAAACCGGAGCUAAUACCGGAUAGUAUUUUGAACCGCAUGGUUCAAAAGUGAAAGACGGUCUUGCUGUCACUUAUAGAUGGAUCCGCGCUGCAUUAGCUAGUUGGUAAGGUAACGGCUUACCAAGGCAACGAUGCAUAGCCGACCUGAGAGGGUGAUCGGCCACACUGGAACUGAGACACGGUCCAGACUCCUACGGGAAGCAGCAGUAGGGAAUCUUCCGCAAUGGGCGAAAGCCUGACGGAGCAACGCCGCGUGAGUGAUGAAGGUCUUCGGAUCGUAAAACUCUGUUAUUAGGGAAGAACAUAUGUGUAAGUAACUGUGCACAUCUUGACGGUACCUAAUCAGAAAGCCACGGCUAACUACGUG
This 497-nucleotide ribosomal RNA is filed under the name uncultured bacterium. Its description in RNAcentral is "partial 16S ribosomal RNA". It matches the Rfam family "Bacterial small subunit ribosomal RNA", at positions 28 to 507 of the family's 1533-position model. The record is from RNAcentral.